UUAUUUUAUUUUAUUUUAAUUUUUAAUUUUAUAAGUGAUUUUAUUUUAAUUUUUAAUUUGAAAUUAAAAGUAUGCAUAAUUAAAAAUAUUUAUCCAAAUAUACAGAGCAAAACAUAGAUUUGAUGUGAGAAUAAAUUGUUAUUCUGAUAAAAUUAUAUUAUAAAUGAUCUAUAUCAUACUAUUUAACAUAGUCAUUUUUAAUAUAAUU
RNAcentral lists this unclassified non-coding RNA (208 nucleotides) under Hevea brasiliensis (rubber tree). The record is from RNAcentral. Lineage: Eukaryota; Viridiplantae; Streptophyta; Magnoliopsida; Malpighiales; Euphorbiaceae.